UACUCCUGAUUUCAAAAAAGA
This 21-nucleotide non-coding RNA is filed under the name Caenorhabditis elegans. Lineage: Eukaryota; Metazoa; Nematoda; Chromadorea; Rhabditida; Rhabditidae. The record is from RNAcentral.